CUUCAAAGUUUUUGGACAGACAUUCAGUAUGACUCAUCUGGGAGGAAUUUAAAGUGGGAAGCUGGAGGAGAGAGAAAGCAAGAGACUGUGUUGAGGUGGCAGCUUUUGCUGGACUCACCUUUUUCAAGCAAUUCUUCAUCCGUGGCUGUGUAUUUUGGACAGUAGAUCAUUUAGAAGACUGAUCACCGCUUGGAAGGAGCUGUGAUAUCGAAUUUGUGUUCUUACUCUGCACUCUGGAAUGGGGCCGUGCUCUCUCAUCCUGGCUCUCUGGUAAGU
Molecule: long non-coding RNA, 276 nt
Organism: Corvus hawaiiensis (hawaiian crow)
Lineage: Eukaryota; Metazoa; Chordata; Aves; Passeriformes; Corvidae
Exons: 3
Source: RefSeq, a predicted model, not a curated record